Molecule: ribosomal RNA, 496 nt
Filed under: uncultured bacterium
Lineage: Bacteria
Description: partial 16S ribosomal RNA
Rfam family: Bacterial small subunit ribosomal RNA
Source: RNAcentral
GACGAACGCUGGCGGCGUGCCUAAUACAUGCAAGUUGAGCGCUGAAGGUUGGUACUUGUACCAACUGGAUGAGCAGCGAACGGGUGAGUAACGCGUGGGGAAUCUGCCUUUGAGCGGGGACAACAUUUGGAAACGAAUGCUAAUACCGCAUAAAAACUUUAAACACAAGUUUUCAGUUUGAAAGAUGCAAUUGCAUCACUCAAAGAUGAUCCCGCGUUGUAUUAGCUAGUUGGUGAGGUAAAGGCUCACCAAGGCGAUGAUACAUAGCCGACCUGAGAGGGUGAUCGGCCACAUUGGGACUGAGACACGGCCCAAACUCCUACGGGAGGCAGCAGUAGGGAAUCUUCGGCAAUGGACGAAAGUCUGACCGAGCAACGCCGCGUGAGUGAAGAAGGUUUUCGGAUCGUAAAACUCGGUUGGUAGAGAAGAACGUUGGUGAGAGUGGAAAGCUCAUCAAGUGACGGUAACUACCCAGAAAGGGACGGCUAACUACGUG